RNAcentral lists this ribosomal RNA (206 nucleotides) under uncultured bacterium. RNAcentral describes it as "partial 16S ribosomal RNA". It matches the Rfam family "Bacterial small subunit ribosomal RNA", at positions 568 to 774 of the family's 1533-position model. The record is from RNAcentral.
UCCGUAGGUGGACGGUUAAGUCAGAGGUGAAAUCCUGCAGCUCAACUGUAGAAUUGCCUUUGAUACUGGUCGUCUUGAGUCAUUGUGAAGUGGUUGGAAUAUGUAGUGUAGCGGUGAAAUGCAUAGAUAUUACAUAGAACACCGAUUGCGAAGGCAGAUCACUAACGAUGUACUGACACUGAUGGACGAAAGCGUGGGAGCGAACA